This is a non-coding RNA of Triticum aestivum (bread wheat), 115 nucleotides long. NCBI's taxonomy places the organism in Eukaryota, Viridiplantae, Streptophyta, Magnoliopsida, Poales, Poaceae. The record is from Rfam.
CAUAUACUCCCUCCGUCUGGAAUUAGAUGACGCUCAAAUAGAUGUAUCUAGACGUAUUUCAGUGCUAGAUACAUCUGUUUGAGCGUCAACUAAUUCCGGACGGAGGAAAUAUAUU